GACGAACGCUGGCGGCGUGCUUAACACAUGCAAGUCGUACGGUAAGGCCCUUUCGGGGGUACCCGAGUGGCGCACGGGUGCGUAACACGUGAGUAACCUGCCCACAACUUUGGGAUAACGCUAGGAAACUGGUGCUAAUACUGGAUAUGUGCCCCUGCUGCAUGGUGGGGGUUGGAAAGCUCCGGCGGUUGUGGAUGGACUCGCGGCCUAUCAGCUUGUUGGUGGGGUAGUGGCCUACCAAGGCGGCGACGGGUAGCCGGCCUGAGAGGGUGACCGGCCACAUUGGGACUGAGAUACGGCCCAGACUCCUACGGGAGGCAGCAGUGGGGAAUAUUGCACAAUGGGCGCAAGCCUGAUGCAGCAACGCCGCGUGCGGGAUGACGGCCUUCGGGUUGUAAACCGCUUUCAGCAGGGACGAAGCUUUUUGUGACGGUACCUGCAGAAGAAGCACCGGCUAACUACGUG
This 465-nucleotide ribosomal RNA is filed under the name uncultured bacterium. Its description in RNAcentral is "partial 16S ribosomal RNA". It matches the Rfam family "Bacterial small subunit ribosomal RNA", at positions 28 to 507 of the family's 1533-position model. The record is from RNAcentral.